RNAcentral lists this ribosomal RNA (253 nucleotides) under uncultured bacterium. RNAcentral describes it as "partial 16S ribosomal RNA". It matches the Rfam family "Bacterial small subunit ribosomal RNA", at positions 524 to 776 of the family's 1533-position model. The record is from RNAcentral.
UACAGAGGAGCCAAGCGUUGUCCGGAUUGACUGGGCGUAAAGCGCACGCAGGCGGUCGGGCGCGUGGGGUGUGAAAUCUGGCCGCUUAACGGCCAGGCGCCAUCCCAUACGGCCGGACUGGAGGGAUGCAGAGGUCGGUGGAAUUGCCGGUGUAGUGGUGAAAUGCGUAGAUAUCUGGAGGAACACCGGUGGCGAAGGCGACAUCCUGGACCGGCAUUGACGCUGAGGCGCGAAAGCCAGGGAAGCAAACGGG